UACAGAGGGGGCAAGCGUUAUUCGGAAUUAUUGGGCGUAAAGGGCGCGUAGGCGGCCUGACAAGUGGAAGGUGAAAUCCCUCGGCUUAACCGAGGAACUGCCCUCCAAACUGUUUGGCUUGAGACCGGGAGAGGUGAGUGGAAUUCCCAGUGUAGCGGUGAAAUGCGUAGAUAUUGGGAGGAACACCAGUGGCGAAGGCGGCUCACUGGACCGGUACUGACGCUGAGGCGCGAAAGCUAGGGGAGCAAACAGG
This 253-nucleotide ribosomal RNA is filed under the name uncultured bacterium. Its description in RNAcentral is "partial 16S ribosomal RNA". It matches the Rfam family "Bacterial small subunit ribosomal RNA", at positions 524 to 776 of the family's 1533-position model. The record is from RNAcentral.